GAAUGCCUGCUGUGCAGUGUCCUCUGGAUGGAUGCUGAGGCUCAAAAGGUGGACAUUGUGUUGAGGAGUUCACAUUCUAACAGGGAAGUGCGACCAACCACUGCUUUUCAAAAACAAAAUGUUGUAUGUUGUACAAUAGAAAGGCAAGAAAAUGCAGAAGAGUUUAUGGAAAGUGAGAGAGAGGAAGCUGCGGUGGACUUGUGCUUGGACAGAUGAGUAGGGUUAGUGAAUGGACAAGAUACUCCACUUUCAUGGAUCCCAGACUGGAAAUAAUAGAUCAUGCACUACGUUUAUGGUUUUGCAAGAAGUCCAAAGGCAGAACUCCAAACAGCAUUUUCCAG
This is a long non-coding RNA of Chlorocebus sabaeus (green monkey), 341 nucleotides long. RefSeq lists it as uncharacterized. Lineage: Eukaryota; Metazoa; Chordata; Mammalia; Primates; Cercopithecidae. The record is from RefSeq and is a predicted model, not a curated record.